This 250-nucleotide ribosomal RNA is filed under the name uncultured bacterium. RNAcentral's name for it is "partial 16S ribosomal RNA". It matches the Rfam family "Bacterial small subunit ribosomal RNA", at positions 57 to 339 of the family's 1533-position model. The record is from RNAcentral.
GCAAGUCGAACGGUCGUAAGACAGUGGCGAACGGCUGAGGAAUACGUUGGAACAUCCCCCGAACUCAGGGAUAACUCCGCGAAAGCGGAGCUAAUACCGGAUAGUCUCGCAAGAGUAAAGAUUUUUCGGUUCGGGAAUGGCCUGCGUCCUAUCAGUUAGUUGGUGAGGUAAAGGCUUACCAAGACUAUGACGGGUAGCUGGUGUGAGAGCAUGACCAGCCAGAAUGGGACUGAGACACGGCCCAUACUCC